RNAcentral lists this transfer RNA (64 nucleotides) under Andrena nigroaenea. RNAcentral describes it as "tRNA-Tyr". Lineage: Eukaryota; Metazoa; Arthropoda; Insecta; Hymenoptera; Andrenidae. The record is from RNAcentral.
AGUUCUAUGCCUGAUAAAAGGGGUAAAUUGUAAAUUUAUAUAUGGAAAAUGAUUCCUAGGACUA